Molecule: ribosomal RNA, 253 nt
Filed under: uncultured microorganism
Description: partial 16S ribosomal RNA
Rfam family: Bacterial small subunit ribosomal RNA
Source: RNAcentral
UACGUAGGGUGCGAGCGUUAAUAGGAUUUACUGGGCGUGAAGCGUGCGCAGGCGGCCCGUUAAGACAGGUGUGAAAUCCCUGGGCUCAACCUAGGAAUUGCGCUUGUGACUGGCGGGCUCGAGUACGGUAGAGGGGGGUGGAAUUCCUGGUGUAGCAGUGAAAUGCGUAGAGAUCAGGAGGAACACCGAUGGCGAAGGCAGCCCCCUGGGCCUGUACUGACGCUCAUGCACGAAAGCGUGGGGAGCAAACGGG